RNAcentral lists this ribosomal RNA (690 nucleotides) under uncultured Acidobacteriota bacterium. Its description in RNAcentral is "bacterial SSU rRNA". It matches the Rfam family "Bacterial small subunit ribosomal RNA", at positions 15 to 736 of the family's 1533-position model. Lineage: Bacteria; Pseudomonadati; Acidobacteriota. The record is from RNAcentral.
GAUCCUGGCUCAGAAUCAACGCUGGCGGCGCGCUUAACACAUGCAAGUCGCACGAGAAAGGGGAGCAAUCCCUGAGUAAAGUGGCGUACGGGUGAGUAACACGUGGAUGAUCUACCUUCUAGUGGGGAAUAACCCAGGGAAACCGGGGCUAAUACCGCAUGAGCUCGAGAGAGGAAAGCAGCAAUGCGCUGGAAGAGGAGUCCGCGGCCGAUUAGCUAGUUGGCAGGGUAAAAGCCUACCAAGGCAGAGAUCGGUAGCCGGCCUGAGAGGGCACACGGCCACACUGGCACUGAAACACGGGCCAGACUCCUACGGGAGGCAGCAGUGGGGAAUCUUGCACAAUGGGGGAAACCCUGAUGCAGCGACGCCGCGUGAGCGAUGAAGCCCUUCGGGGUGUAAAGCUCUUUCGGCAGGGAAGAUGAUGACGGUACCUGCAGAAGCAGCUGCGGCUAACUACGUGCCAGCAGCCGCGGUAAUACGUAGGCAGCGAGCGUUGUUCGGAGUUACUGGGCGUAAAGGGUGUGUAGGCGGUUGUUUAAGUUUGGUGUGAAAUCUCCCGGCUCAACUGGGAGGGUGCGCCGAAUACUGAAUGACUUGGAGUGCGGGAGAGGUGAGUGGAAUUCCUGGUGUAGCGGUGAAAUGCGUAGAUAUCAGGAGGAACACCGGUGGUGUAGACGGCUCACUGGACCG